CAGCCGCCGCGGUAAAACGGAGGGUGCAAGCGUUAAUCGGAAUUACUGGGCGUAAAGCGUGCGUAGGCGGUUCGUUAAGUCUGUUGUGAAAGCCCCGGGCUCAACCUGGGAAUGGCAAUGGAUACUGGCGAGCUAGAGUGUGUCAGAGGAUGGUGGAAUUCCCGGUGUAGCGGUGAAAUGCGUAGAGAUCGGGAGGAACAUCAGUGGCGAAGGCGGCCAUCUGGGACAACACUGACGCUGAGGCACGAAAGCGUGGGGAGCAAACAGGAUUAGAUACCCCCGUAGUCCCUGUCUCUUAUAC
RNAcentral lists this ribosomal RNA (301 nucleotides) under uncultured bacterium. RNAcentral's name for it is "partial 16S ribosomal RNA". It matches the Rfam family "Bacterial small subunit ribosomal RNA", at positions 509 to 807 of the family's 1533-position model. The record is from RNAcentral.